RNAcentral lists this ribosomal RNA (800 nucleotides) under Halomonas sp. Its description in RNAcentral is "bacterial SSU rRNA". It matches the Rfam family "Bacterial small subunit ribosomal RNA", at positions 52 to 845 of the family's 1533-position model. The record is from RNAcentral. Lineage: Bacteria; Pseudomonadati; Pseudomonadota; Gammaproteobacteria; Oceanospirillales; Halomonadaceae.
CACAUGCAGUCGAGCGGAACGAUCCUAGCUUGCUAGGAGGCGUCGAGCGGCGGACGGGUGAGUAAUGCAUAGGAAUCUGCCCGGUAGUGGGGGAUAACCUGGGGAAACCCAGGCUAAUACCGCAUACGCCCUACGGGGGAAAGCAGGGGAUCUUCGGACCUUGCGCUAUCGGAUGAGCCUAUGUCGGAUUAGCUAGUUGGUGAGGUAACGGCUCACCAAGGCUGCGAUCCGUAGCUGGUCUGAGAGGAUGAUCAGCCACAUCGGGACUGAGACACGGCCCGAACUCCUACGGGAGGCAGCAGUGGGGAAUAUUGGACAAUGGGCGAAAGCCUGAUCCAGCCAUGCCGCGUGUGUGAAGAAGGCCUUCGGGUUGUAAAGCACUUUCAGUGAGGAAGAAAGCCUUGAGGUUAAUACCCUCGAGGGAGGACAUCACUCACAGAAGAAGCACCGGCUAACUCCGUGCCAGCAGCCGCGGUAAUACGGAGGGUGCGAGCGUUAAUCGGAAUUACUGGGCGUAAAGCGCGCGUAGGCGGCUUGAUAAGCCGGUUGUGAAAGCCCCGGGCUCAACCUGGGAACGGCAUCCGGAACUGUCAGGCUAGAGUGCAGGAGAGGAAGGUAGAAUUCCCGGUGUAGCGGUGAAAUGCGUAGAGAUCGGGAGGAAUACCAGUGGCGAAGGCGGCCUUCUGGACUGACACUGACGCUGAGGUGCGAAAGCGUGGGUAGCAAACAGGAUUAGAUACCCUGGUAGUCCACGCCGUAAACGAUGUCGACUAGCCGUUGGGCUCCUUGAGAGCUUUGUG